RNAcentral lists this unclassified non-coding RNA (439 nucleotides) under Hevea brasiliensis (rubber tree). Lineage: Eukaryota; Viridiplantae; Streptophyta; Magnoliopsida; Malpighiales; Euphorbiaceae. The record is from RNAcentral.
GUUUCACUCUGCUCAUUUUUGCUUCCUCUCAAAAUUACUCAUUUUAUAUAGUGGUUUAAAAUAUAUACCAUCAGUUUAGCCUAGUGGUUUAAGAUGGAUUAAAAAAAUUUAAAAUCGUUAGAUGUCAUUUCACCUAGCAUUUCUAAUGGCAAAAGUUAAGAUCCUCGAAUUCUAAUUUUGGGUGUUGAUAAAAUUUCUUUAAUUUUGAAAAGAAAUGCAGACAUAUUUUUUUCCCCAUUGAAUGCAUGACUUAUAGAGAGGGUGAGGAGCCCUAUGAUGAAAAUAACACUAGAUGGUAAGGAAUCUAGAAGUACUUUUGAGACUCGGGGACAGUUUGAAUUAAUAAAAUAAAUUAAUUUAUCAUUUUAAGAAAACAUAAAAUGCAUUUUUUAAUUUUAUAAAAUUAGAAAUUAAUUUAAUAAAGUAAGAAAUUAAUUAG